CAGUAGCCGCGGUAAUACAGAGGAUGCAAGCGUUGUCCGGAAUUAUUGGGCGUAAAGGGCUCGCAGGCGGUUUCUUAAGUCUGAUGUGAAAGCCCCCGGCUCAACCGGGGAGGGUCAUUGGAAACUGGGAAACUUGAGUGCAGAAGAGGAGAGUGGAAUUCCACGUGUAGCGGUGAAAUGCGUAGAGAUGUGGAGGAACACCAGUGGCGAAGGCGACUCUCUGGUCUGUAACAGACGCUGAGGAGCGAAAGCGUGGGGAGCGAACAGGAUUAGAUACCCCAGUAGUCCCUGUCUCUUAUAC
This 301-nucleotide ribosomal RNA is filed under the name uncultured bacterium. Its description in RNAcentral is "partial 16S ribosomal RNA". It matches the Rfam family "Bacterial small subunit ribosomal RNA", at positions 509 to 807 of the family's 1533-position model. The record is from RNAcentral.